AUGAUCCUGGACCGUGGGACACAGCUGCAACUCCAACUCGAUAUUGAAGUCCUUCCUGCUGAGUGCAAUCACCAGCCCUUUUUGUUUUGUUUUUUGACAAAAGAGUCUACCUUCUAUCGUUUUAUGUUGGCUUUGAAUAUGCAAAAGAUUCAUAUUUCUACCACUUUCAGUUUAUCAACAUCGAUGCGUCGGGCCCAUCACCAGCCCCAAACUUGUAGCAUAUUUAUCAAGUACAGUAACCUGUUCUCCUCACUUGGCUUUUUGGUAUGUUUUGAUUCUCUUACUACUGUAGCUUGUCUGGAUGGUUACAUAUCGUUUGACAAACACAUUUAA
RNAcentral lists this ribosomal RNA (333 nucleotides) under Triticum aestivum (bread wheat). Its description in RNAcentral is "partial small subunit ribosomal RNA". The record is from RNAcentral. Lineage: Eukaryota; Viridiplantae; Streptophyta; Magnoliopsida; Poales; Poaceae.